Molecule: ribosomal RNA, 495 nt
Filed under: uncultured bacterium
Lineage: Bacteria
Description: partial 16S ribosomal RNA
Rfam family: Bacterial small subunit ribosomal RNA
Source: RNAcentral
GAUGAACGCUGGCGGCGUGCCUAAUACAUGCAAGUCGAGCGAACGGACGAGAAGCUUGCUUCUCUGAUGUUAGCGGCGGACGGGUGAGUAACACGUGGAUAACCUACCUAAGACUGGGAUAACUUCGGGAAACCGGAGCUAAUACAGGAUGAUAUUUUGAACCGCAUGGUUCCAAAGUGAAAGACGGUCUUGCUGUCACUUAUAGAUGGAUCCGCGCUGCAUUAGCUAGUUGGUAAGGUAACGGCUUACCAAGGCAACGAUGCAUAGCCGACCUGAGAGGGUGAUCGGCCACACUGGAACUGAAACACGGUCCAGACUCCUACGGGAGGCAGAAGUAGGGAAUCUUCCGCAAUGGGCGAAAGCCUGACGGAGCAACGCCGCGUGAGUGAUGAAGGUCUUCGGAUCGUAAAACUCUGUUAUUAGGGAAGAACAUAUGUGUAAGUAACUGUGCACAUCUUGACGGUACCUAAUCAGAAAGCCACGGCUAACUACGUG